UACGUAGGGUGCGAGCGUUAAUCGGAAUUACUGGGCGUAAAGCGUGCGCAGGCGGUUCGUUGUGUCUGAUGUGAAAGCCCCGGGCUUAACUUGGGAAUGGCAUUGGAAACUGGCGAGCUAGAGUGUGGCAGAGGGGGGUGGAAUUCCGCGUGUAGCAGUGAAAUGCGUAGAGAUGCGGAGGAACACCGAUGGCGAAGGCAGCCCCCUGGGCUGACACUGACGCUCAGGCACGAAAGCGUGGGGAGCAAACAGG
RNAcentral lists this ribosomal RNA (253 nucleotides) under uncultured bacterium. Its description in RNAcentral is "partial 16S ribosomal RNA". It matches the Rfam family "Bacterial small subunit ribosomal RNA", at positions 524 to 776 of the family's 1533-position model. The record is from RNAcentral.